This 496-nucleotide ribosomal RNA is filed under the name uncultured bacterium. RNAcentral's name for it is "partial 16S ribosomal RNA". It matches the Rfam family "Bacterial small subunit ribosomal RNA", at positions 29 to 507 of the family's 1533-position model. The record is from RNAcentral.
AUGAACGCUGGCGGCGUGCCUCAUACGUGCAAGUCGAGCGCACAGACGAGGAGCUUGCUCCUUUGACGUUAGCGGCGGACGGGUGAGUAACACGUAGGUAACCUACCUAUAAGACUGGGAUAACUUCGGGAAACCGGAGCUAAUACCGGAUAAUAUUUCGAACCGCAUGGUUCGAUAGUGAAAGAUGGCUUUGCUAUCACUUAUAGAUGGACCUGCGCCGUAUUAGCUAGUUGGUAAGGUAACGGCUUACCAAGGCAACGAUACGUAGCCGACCUGAGAGGGUGAUCGGCCACACUGGAACUGAGACACGGUCCAGACUCCUACGGGAGGCAGCAGUAGGGAAUCUUCCGCAAUGGGCGAAAGCCUGACGGAGCAACGCCGCGUGAGUGAUGAAGGUCUUCGGAUCGUAAAACUCUGUUAUUAGGGAAGAACAAACGUGUAAGUAACUGUGCACGUCUUGACGGUACCUAAUCAGAAAGCCACGGCUAACUACGUG